AGUGAACGCUGGUGGUAGGCCUAACACAUGCAAGUCGAACGGCAGCACAGGAGAGCUUGCUCUCUGGGUGGCGAGUGGCGGACGGGUGGGGAAUACAUCGGAAUCUACUCUGUCGUGGGGGAUAAUGUAGGGAAACUUACGCUAAUACCGCAUACGACCUACGGGUGAAAGCAGGGGACCUUCGGGCCUUGCGCGAUUGAAUGAGCCGAUGUCGGAUUAGCUAGUUGGCGGGGUAAAGGCCCACCAAGGCGACGAUCCGUAGCUGGUCUGAGAGGAUGAGCAGCCACACUGGAACUGAGACACGGUCCAGACUCCUACGGGAGGCAGCAGUGGGGAAUAUUGGACAAUGGGCGCAAGCCUGAUCCAGCCAUACCGCGUGGGUGAAGAAGGCCUUCGGGUUGUAAAGCCCUUUUGUUGGGAAAGAAAUCCAGCUGGCUAAUACCCGGUUGGGAUGACGGUACCCAAAGAAUAAGCACCGGCUAACUUCGUGCCAGCCGCCGCAGUAA
This 506-nucleotide ribosomal RNA is filed under the name uncultured bacterium. RNAcentral's name for it is "partial 16S ribosomal RNA". It matches the Rfam family "Bacterial small subunit ribosomal RNA", at positions 29 to 523 of the family's 1533-position model. The record is from RNAcentral.